GACGAACGCUGGCGGCGUGCUUAACACAUGCAAGUCGAACGGAAAGGCCCUGCUUUUGUGGGGUGCUCGAGUGGCGAACGGGUGAGUAACACGUGAGUAACCUGCCCUUGACUUUGGGAUAACUUCAGGAAACUGGGGCUAAUACCGGAUAGAAGCUCCUGCUGCAUGGUGGGGGUUGGAAAGUUUCGGCGGUUGGGGAUGGACUCGCGGCUUAUCAGCUUGUUGGUGGGGUAGUGGCUUACCAAGGCUUUGACGGGUAGCCGGCCUGAGAGGGUAACCGGCCACAUUGGGACUGAGAUACGGCCCAGACUCCUACGGGAGGCAGCAGUGGGGAAUAUUGCACAAUGGGCGGAAGCCUGAUGCAGCAACGCCGCGUGCGGGAUGACGGCCUUCGGGUUGUAAACCGCUUUCGCCUGUGACGAAGCGUGAGUGACGGUAAUGGGUAAAGAAGCACCGGCUAACUACGUG
This 468-nucleotide ribosomal RNA is filed under the name uncultured bacterium. RNAcentral describes it as "partial 16S ribosomal RNA". It matches the Rfam family "Bacterial small subunit ribosomal RNA", at positions 28 to 507 of the family's 1533-position model. The record is from RNAcentral.